CGCAGUAAUCCCCAACCAUAGUGGGCUUGGAGCUGUAAGGGAAUUCGGAGUAGCCACCCAUUCUGAAAGUUUGAUUUUCUUCUGUGAAUUCAAAGCUAGCUCAGAUUCAGGGAUUGUCAAAGACAUCGUCACACUAUCCAUCUAUCAAUUUGGUACUUUUGAACCUAAGUUUUGAGUAUAUGGCUUGUAUGAGGAGUUUGGCCAUUUUGGCAUAUAUAUGAUGCCUAUGAGUUUAGCCAUUUGAAUUGGCUUGUAAAUGUUGAUGUUUUGGUUUGUAUAUAUAACCAUGAAAGUUGCCUUAUUUUGAGUUAAUUUGGCUAAUUAGAAGUGUGUA
Gossypium arboreum is the source of this 334-nucleotide long non-coding RNA. RefSeq lists it as uncharacterized. The record is from RefSeq and is a predicted model, not a curated record. NCBI's taxonomy places the organism in Eukaryota, Viridiplantae, Streptophyta, Magnoliopsida, Malvales, Malvaceae. The transcript is spliced from 2 exons.